Molecule: ribosomal RNA, 253 nt
Filed under: uncultured bacterium
Lineage: Bacteria
Description: partial 16S ribosomal RNA
Rfam family: Bacterial small subunit ribosomal RNA
Source: RNAcentral
UACAGAGGCCUCGAGCGUUAGGCGGAAUCACUGGGCUUAAAGCGUGUGUAGGCGGGCCCGUAAGUGUCUUGUGAAAUCCCACGGCUCAACCGUGGAACCGCUGGGCAUACUGCGGGUCUUGGGCCAACUAGGGGCAGCCGGAACAAGCGGUGGAGCGGUGAAAUGCGUAGAUAUCGCUUGGAACGCCGAAGGUGAAAACAGGCUGCUGGGGUUGCGCCGACGCUGAGACACGAAAGCCAGGGGAGCAAACGGG